CCCUUGCAUAGGUUGCGUUUGGACAGAGAGAGACGAGAGGCCAGCAGCUGCAAACAGCAGAGACAGUAAUGACAUGGUGGCUUCACAAAACUGUAAGUCCAGUUGUAGGGGAGCUUGUAUUAGAUUAAAAAUGCUGCAGCCCUUAGACACAAGGUGCUGAACUACUAUACGACCACAUUGUUUGACUGAAGCUGGGGGUGUGGUGAGAAUAUUUAUAUAAACAUAUGAAGGAGUAAUUUUUGUCUGCCAGGAUUGCAUAAGAUCAAGUAUCAGAUAACCAUAUUUCUGAAUGGAGCUUAUUUGCCAGCCCAAAGGCUCCUUUGCCAGUUCUUUCAUGGUACCUUUGUGCUCUUACUGGUGCUUUGCCAUGGAACUCAAAUGUUUCCGAAGAAAUAAAUAUGCAGGUUUGGGUGCAUAUUUACUCUUAUGCUUCUGGUGUGUUUGUUGUAAACUGUCUCAACUCCAUCAACAGCAACUUUGAAGAAUUUGGUGAUGGCGUAGCAUUACUGAUCAGACAGAGCCUGGACCGGAGCCACAGUGGAAAUCGUGUACUUGGCAAGCAGACCCCUUCAGCAUUGUUCCACAUGAUCCCAAGUGAACCAAGCAAGAGACUACCCGUUGUUCAAGAAUUCUUGAAAACAGCGAUGGCAAUGCAGUGUUUUAAAUGUUUUAAUUCUAGGACCACUUCACAGAAAAUAUCUGAGGUGUGCAUUACCAUCUACUUCCUUGUGGUUGUACCGGUGUGCCAUGCAGCAACUCAGAGAAACUCACUUAAUCCAACUGGAAAAAACACUCACACAAAAGAUAUUUUCUCAGAUAAGCUGUUUCAGCUGACAGUGGUGAUGAAGCGGCACACCCCUGAUACAAGGGGAAGGUGA
RNAcentral lists this long non-coding RNA (878 nucleotides) under Junco hyemalis (dark-eyed junco). Its description in RNAcentral is "lncRNA (ENSJHYG00000004389.1)". The record is from RNAcentral. Lineage: Eukaryota; Metazoa; Chordata; Aves; Passeriformes; Passerellidae.